AGGCUGCUGCUUAUAACGGGGCUUUCAUUGAGAUCCUGACCCCGAAGCGUCAGUAAAACAUGGCACAUUCUUGACUUUCAAACAAACUGCUGGGAGGUGGCCAGCGUGGAGCACAGAGCUGGGUUUUAGAGGGGCUGGAGCUGCACAGUGAUGUGCCACCCCUUUCAUUAGCUGUUGCUGACUGUGAAAAUGCCUUCCUGGAUAGGAAUUGCACAUAAAGCGCUGGAAUCCUGUAAUCACAGCACAUCAAGAUGAUGGGAACUCAAUUAAAUUAAGGAGAAACACCAAGAUUGUGAAACUUGGCGGCAGGACAAGAGCUGGUUGCAACACAGGCUGGACUUUAGAAGCGUGACCUUUUGACCUGAAUCAUGACAAGUGAUUAUGAGGAAGAGCUGCUCUCACUUCUAAAUUAUUGCCAUGCAAUGAGCAGAUUUCCAUGGGGUGGCUGAAGUCAUGUCCUGAGAUACGAGGGAUACAAGCAUCCCAUUCCUGCUCUACUUUGUACUACAAGACUGGUCUUAGCGAAGCUUAUUCUCUUAAAAUGUCCUGCCUGACUGAAUAAAACACAAUUUCUGUUCUAAUAUUGUUGGGCUGUGAAACAUUGCAAUAGAGGCACAAAUGUGGGCAAGAACAAGUUUUACUGCAGACGCUUUAUCUUCUGAUAGAUUGUCCCAGUGCUGCAUUCCUCAUUCCCUGGCAGUUUGGUCCAGCUCAGAUUGGAAGAUGGUGAAGAUCUUGGGAGAUCUCCAAUAACGUGGGGCAAAAUGCACUGAUAACAGAAAUGCAAUGGCUUUGGUUGAUCUGUAGAAGGAAAAAAAAAAAAGAAACGGUCCAUAGUGAGAAUGCAGAAUAAGAUUGAGAGGAAAAACUGAGCCCUAAAAGGGAGGCUGGUGCG
Long non-coding RNA from Centrocercus urophasianus (Greater sage-grouse), 895 nucleotides. RefSeq lists it as uncharacterized. The transcript is spliced from 3 exons. The record is from RefSeq and is a predicted model, not a curated record. NCBI's taxonomy places the organism in Eukaryota, Metazoa, Chordata, Aves, Galliformes, Phasianidae.